AUUGAACGCUGGCGGCAGGCUUAACACAUGCAAGUCGAGCGGGGGGAGGUAGCUUGCUACCGGACCUAGCGGCGGACGGGUGAGUAAUGCUUAGGAAUCUGCCUAUUAGUGGGGGACAACAUCUCGAAAGGGAUGCUAAUACCGCAUACGUCCUACGGGAGAAAGCAGGGGAUCUUCGGACCUUGCGCUACUAGAUGAGCCUAAGUCGGAUUAGCUAGUUGGUGGGGUAAAGGCCUACCAAGGCGACGAUCUGUAGCGGGUCUGAGAGGAUGAUCCGCCAGACAGGGACUGAGAGACGGCCCAGACUCCUACGGGAGGCAGAAGUGGGGAAUAUUGGACAAUGGGGGGAACCCUGAUCCAGCCAUGCCGCGUGGGUGAAGAAGGCCUUAUGGUUGUAAAGCAAUUUAAGCGAGGAGGAGGCUACUUUAGUUAAUACCUAGAGAUAGUGGACGUUACUCGCAGAAUAAGCACCGGCUAACUCUGUGCCAGCAGCCGCCGUAA
Molecule: ribosomal RNA, 501 nt
Filed under: uncultured bacterium
Lineage: Bacteria
Description: partial 16S ribosomal RNA
Rfam family: Bacterial small subunit ribosomal RNA
Source: RNAcentral